This is a long non-coding RNA of Aethalodelphis obliquidens (Pacific white-sided dolphin), 2194 nucleotides long. RefSeq lists it as uncharacterized. Lineage: Eukaryota; Metazoa; Chordata; Mammalia; Artiodactyla; Delphinidae. The record is from RefSeq and is a predicted model, not a curated record. The transcript is spliced from 3 exons.
GGUCUGCGCGCCCCAGCUCCCCGGAAGACCGCAGGUUCCUUCCCGAACCUUCAAGGGCAUCCGCCCCACCUCCGACCCCCGCCCGGCUCGGCCCGGCUCACCCAGGCGGGUAUCUCUCUGUCUUUCUGGCUUUUUCCUUCCACUUUCCUGGAUAAAAUUACUGGCUGUGAUGAGUUUUUUCAGCAACACGUGUGUUCCUAGUGGUCAUAAUAGCUGGACCCUCCUCUGUUGUUCUUGGUCUUCCAGGACUGGCCAAAGCAGAAGCUGAAACCUCCCAGCUUAACAUUCUGUUACACUACAUUUCCCAGGGUAACCUAGGAAGUCAAUGUAGGAAAUGCAUCUCACUUGCGUUCCUUUUUGGAGAGUUCCUUUUUGAAUGUACCUAAUCCUAUUAAAGGCUCUGAGAAGCCCUGCAGAUAAAAAGCUAUUAUAUUUGAUUUAACCCACUGUUUCCCAAAUUAUUUGACCACAGAACUCCAUUCUCAAAACACUCCUCUAGUGGUUGACCCAGGUCAACUUGAGCUAAAGGAAUGAGAAAGUAUGAUAGGGAUUCUAGGGAAGGCCCCUGGAACCUGAGGCAGGAAUGCAGCUGACUCCCAUGAUGGAUGGACCCGGAAGUUAACUGGCUGGACUCGGCUCAGCAACCCUGCUGCUCUCCUCGCUGACCUGCCUCCUUUGCCUUUGGCUGAAGUAGAGAACACAGCAUCUUCCUCACAGCUUCCAGGGUCACAGAGCUUCACAGAGAGACUGCUUGACCCUUAUCCUUCCCAAUUCCAAAUGCCUUGGAGAGAGGACCCAACUGUAUCUAUUAUCCCCUUCCCUCUUAACACACACCAGGUCUACACCACAGCCCCCUCCUGGGUUAGUGUGUUUGGGGAGGAUUACCAGAGAAGGAAGGUUGUUGAUUUGGGAGCUGAUGUCCAGAAUGAGACCUGGAACACCUGGCGGGACGUGGUUACCCCAUCUGCACUGCCUUCUCUGCUCCUUGAACACACCAAGCUCAUUUAUGCCUCAAGAUUUGUGUACUUGCUGUUCCCUCUAACCGGAAUGAUCCCCACAUAAAUUUCCUCUAAGGUACAUUAGGGAAGUGGGAUUAUGGUUGAUUUUCUUUUCUCUCUUUUCCAAAUUUAUUUAUAAUGUCAUUACGUUACUCUCAUAAAUUAAAUAUAUAACAUUGAGAAUAUGGCAUCUAAAACUCGAUAUCCCACCUGAGGUCAAAUCUGUGCCUAGAACAUUGGAGCCAUUAUUUUCCUUGACCUGGACAUGCUACUUUGGUUACUACAGCCAGCAAAAGACAUUUUAUGUUCUGUUUGAUCAUAGCAAAACCUGGGGGAAAUGAUGACUUCCAGACCCUUUGCCUGAACCCAUUUGAGAAUUCAUCAUAUUAUACCACUUUUCCAGAGAACGCUAGCUCAUUUGUUCAGUAUAUUUACUGGCUGUUAUUGUGGGUUGAAUUGUGUCCCCCCACCAAAAAAAAUAUGUUGAAGUCCUAACCCCUGGUACCUGUGAAUGGGAUCUUAUUUGGAAAUAGAGUCUUGGUAGAUGUAAUCAAGUUAAGAUGCGAUCAUUCUGGCUUAGGGUGGGUCCUAAAUCCAACGACUGGUGUCCUGAUCAAGAGAGAGAUUUGGAAACAGAGACACAGAGGAGAUAUACAAAGGGAGGAAGGCCAUGUGAAGAAAGAUGCAGAAACUGGAGUGAUGCAGUACAAAACCAAGGGCCAAAGAUCGCUGGCAACCACCAGAGCUAGGAAGAGACAAGGAAGGAUUCUUCCCGAGAGCCUUCGGAGAGAGCUUGGUCGUGCCAACACGUUGAUUUCGGACUGCUAGUCUCCAGGACAGUGAAAGAAUAAAUUUCUGUUGUUUUAAGCCACCCAGUUUGUGGUACUUUGAUAUGGCAGCCCUUGGAAACUAAUACAGCCACUGACUAAGAGCCAGGCACUGUUCUAGCCACAGGAGAUUCAGUGUAAACAGAAUGGACAAGAUCCCUGCUCUCACAGAGCUGCCAUUCUAGUGGGGAACACAGACAACAAACAAGUGAAUAAAGAACAGAAAAUAGCAGGCCUAGAUCCUCCAAUCUGGUGUUUAAUUCCACCUUCAUCUUUGGCUCUUUCAUUCACUCAUUCAGUAAGUAUUCACUGAGGGUCUUCUAUGUGCCAGACAUUGUAUAGAACACAAGAGAUAAAGCAAUGAAUAAA